GGGGCUUCGCGCGCGCC
RNAcentral lists this microRNA (17 nucleotides) under Macrophomina phaseolina MS6. RNAcentral describes it as "miR-4492". Lineage: Eukaryota; Fungi; Ascomycota; Dothideomycetes; Botryosphaeriales; Botryosphaeriaceae. The record is from RNAcentral.